This 301-nucleotide ribosomal RNA is filed under the name uncultured bacterium. RNAcentral's name for it is "partial 16S ribosomal RNA". It matches the Rfam family "Bacterial small subunit ribosomal RNA", at positions 509 to 807 of the family's 1533-position model. The record is from RNAcentral.
CAGUAGCCGCGGUAAUACGUAGGGUGCGAGCGUUAAUCGGGAUUACUGGGCGUAAAGCGUGCGCAGGCGGUUGUGUAAGACAGGUGUGAAAUCCCCGGGCUUAGCCUGGGAACUGCGCUUGUGACUGCACAGCUAGAGUAUGGCAGAGGGGGGUGGAAUUCCACGUGUAGCAGUGAAAUGCGUAGAGAUGUGGAGGAACACCGAUGGCGAGGGCAGCCCCCUGGGCCAAUACUGACGCUCAUGCACGAAAGCGUAGGGAGCAAUCAGGAUUAGAUACCCCCGUAGUCCAUGUCUCUUAUAC